Molecule: non-coding RNA, 87 nt
Organism: Gossypium hirsutum (cotton)
Lineage: Eukaryota; Viridiplantae; Streptophyta; Magnoliopsida; Malvales; Malvaceae
Source: Rfam
CACGUUAGCGCGCUUUACUGACGUGGCAACAAAUCGCGUCCACGAGGGGGCGAUUUCUUGCCACGUCAGCAAAACGCACUGACGUGG